GUAUGAAGUCGGAAUUGCUAGUAAUACGCGGAUCAGCAUGCCGCGGUGAAUACGUUCCCGGGCCCUUGUACACACCGCCCGUCACACCAUGGGAGCCGGUAAUACCCGAAGUCAGUAGCCUAACCGCAAGGAGGGCGCUGCCGAAGGUAGGAUUGGCGACUGGGGUGAAGUCGUAACAAGGUAUC
Molecule: ribosomal RNA, 185 nt
Filed under: uncultured bacterium
Lineage: Bacteria
Description: partial 16S ribosomal RNA
Rfam family: Bacterial small subunit ribosomal RNA
Source: RNAcentral